Molecule: ribosomal RNA, 322 nt
Filed under: uncultured bacterium
Lineage: Bacteria
Description: partial 16S ribosomal RNA
Source: RNAcentral
GUGUGUACAAGGAGCAGGGACGUAUUCACCGCGCGCUAAUGACACGCGAUUACUAGGGAUUCCAUGUUCACGAGAAUGGGUUACAACCCUCGAUCCCAACUACGGCAGGCUUUCGAGAUUGCCUUCCCCUUACGAGGUUCGGAACCCAUUGUACCUGCCCAUUGCACUCGCGUGGUACCCCCGGGAAAUUCGGGGCAUAUGAACCUGGCCGUGGCCCGCUCUCUUCCUCCACUUUAUCAGGGGCGGUUCCUCCACAGUGUGCCCCAGCUCAAAGCUAUUGUUUUUCCAACAGUGGAUGCGGGGUUUUCCAAAAAUCGUUGCC